AAUAGAUACCCGGGUAGUCCACGCCGUAAACGAUGGAUACUAGCUGUUUGAGCGCAAGUUUGAGUGGCUAAGCGAAAGUGAUAAGUAUCCCACCUGGGGAGUACGGGCGCAAGCCUGAAACUCAAAGGAAUUGACGGGGGCCCGCACAAGCGGUGGAGCAUGUGGUUUAAUUCGAUGAUACGCGAGGAACCUUACCAGGGCUUAAAUGUAGAUUGACGUAUUUGGAAACAGAUAUUUCUUCGGACAAUUUACAAGGUGCUGCAUGGUUGUCGUCAGCUCGUGCCGUGAGGUGUCAGGUUAAGUCCUAUAACGAGCGCAACCCCUGUUGUUAGUUGCCAGCGAGUAAUGUCGGGAACUCUAGCAAGACUGCCAGUAUAAACUGUGAGGAAGGUGGGGAUGACGUCAAAUCAUCACGGCCCUUACGUCCUGGGCCACACACGUGCUACAAUGGCCGGUACAGAGAGCAGCCACUUAGCGAUAAGGAGCGAAUCUAUAAAGCCGGUCACAGUUCGGAUCGGAGUCUGC
This 525-nucleotide ribosomal RNA is filed under the name uncultured bacterium. RNAcentral's name for it is "bacterial SSU rRNA". It matches the Rfam family "Bacterial small subunit ribosomal RNA", at positions 777 to 1308 of the family's 1533-position model. The record is from RNAcentral.